UUUCCGUAGGUGAACCUGCGGAAGGAUCAUUAAAGAGAAUAUGCCCUUCGGGGUAGAUCUCCCACCCUUUGUUUAUAUUACCUUUGUUGCUUUGGCAGGCCCGUCUUCGGACCACCGGCUUCGGCUGGUCAGUGCUUGCCAGAGGACCCAGAACUCUUAUUAUUAAUGUCGUCUGAGUACUAUAUAAUAGUUAAAGCUUUCAACAACGGAUCUCUUGGUUCUG
RNAcentral lists this unclassified non-coding RNA (223 nucleotides) under plant metagenome. RNAcentral describes it as "partial contains small subunit ribosomal RNA, internal transcribed spacer 1, and 5.8S ribosomal RNA". The record is from RNAcentral.